RNAcentral lists this ribosomal RNA (137 nucleotides) under uncultured eukaryote. RNAcentral's name for it is "partial 18S ribosomal RNA". It matches the Rfam family "Eukaryotic small subunit ribosomal RNA", at positions 1299 to 1458 of the family's 1831-position model. The record is from RNAcentral.
UGGUGGAGUGAUUUGUCUGGUUAAUUCCGUUAACGAACGAGACCUUAACCGGCUAAAUAGUCACGCGAUUAUAUAAUCGUGACUGACUUCUUAGAGGGACUGUUGGUGUUUUAACCAAAGUCAGGAAGGCAAUAACA